GACGUAGGAUGCAAGCGUUGUCCGGAUUUAUUGGGCGUAAAGAGUUCGUAGGUGGUUUGUUAAGUCUGAUGUUAAAGACUGGGGCUCAACCUCGGAAAUGCAUUGGAUACUGGCAGACUUGAGUGCAGUAGAGGCAAGCGGAAUUCCAGGUGUAGCGGUGAAAUGCGUAGAUAUCUGGAAGAACACCGGUGGCGCAAGCGGCUUGCUGGGCUGUAACUGACGCUGAGGCACGAAAGUGUGGGGAUCAAACAGG
This 253-nucleotide ribosomal RNA is filed under the name uncultured bacterium. RNAcentral describes it as "partial 16S ribosomal RNA". It matches the Rfam family "Bacterial small subunit ribosomal RNA", at positions 524 to 776 of the family's 1533-position model. The record is from RNAcentral.